AUUGAACGCUGGCGGCGUGCUUAACACAUGCAUGUCGAUCGGUAACAGGUGUAGCAAUACAUGCUGACGAGAGGCGGACGGGUGAGUAAUGCUUGGGAAUCUGCCUAUUAGUGGGGGACGAACCCGGGGAAACGUCGGGCUAAUACCGCAUACGCUCUACGGAGGAAAGCCGGGACCGCAAGGCCUGGCGCUAAUAGAUGAGCCCAAGUCGGAUUAGCUAGUUGGAGGGUAACGGCCUACCAAGGCGACAAUCCGUAGCUGGUCUGAGAGGACGACCAGCCACACCGGAACUGAGACACGGUCCGGACUCCUACGGGAGGCAGCAGUGGGGAAUAUUGGACAAUGGGGGCGAACCCUCGAUCCAGCGACGCCGCGUGGGUGAAGAAGGCCCGCGGGUUGUAAA
RNAcentral lists this ribosomal RNA (403 nucleotides) under uncultured bacterium. Its description in RNAcentral is "bacterial SSU rRNA". It matches the Rfam family "Bacterial small subunit ribosomal RNA", at positions 29 to 429 of the family's 1533-position model. The record is from RNAcentral.